AUUGAACGCUGGCGGCAUGCUUUACACAUGCAAGUCGAACGGUAACAGGCCUUCGGGUGCUGAUGAGUGGCGAACGGGCGAGUAAUGCAUCGGAACGUACCCAGAGGUGGGGGAUAACGCAGCGAAAGCUGUGCUAAUACCGCAUGUGAUCUGAGGAUGAAAGCGGGGGACCGGGCAGCAAUGUUUGGCCUCGCGCCUUUGGAGCGGCCGAUGUCGGAUUAGCUAGUUGGUGGGGUAAAGGCCUACCAAGGCGACGAUCCGUAGCUGGUCUGAGAGGACGACCAGCCACACUGGGACUGAGACACGGCCCAGACUCCUACGGGAGGCAGCAGUGGGGAAUUUUGGACAAUGGGCGCAAGCCUGAUCCAGCAAUGCCGCGUGCGGGAAGAAGGCCUUCGGGUCGUAAACCGCGUUUGGCAGGAACGAAACGGUGUCCGCUAAUACCGAGCGCUAAUGACGGUACCUGCAGAAUAAGCACCGGCUAACUACGUG
This 492-nucleotide ribosomal RNA is filed under the name uncultured bacterium. RNAcentral's name for it is "partial 16S ribosomal RNA". It matches the Rfam family "Bacterial small subunit ribosomal RNA", at positions 29 to 507 of the family's 1533-position model. The record is from RNAcentral.